Molecule: unclassified non-coding RNA, 272 nt
Filed under: Hevea brasiliensis (rubber tree)
Lineage: Eukaryota; Viridiplantae; Streptophyta; Magnoliopsida; Malpighiales; Euphorbiaceae
Source: RNAcentral
AUAGGUUAUAUGGCUCCAGAAUAUUUGCUUGGCGGCAUAUUUUCAGAGAAAUCUGAUGUCUUUGGCUUUGGAGUCCUAAUUUUGGAAAUUGUCAGUGGUAGGAAGGCUAACAGCUUCCAAUACAAUGAACAACAUAUAAGUCUUCUAGCUUAUGCAUGGCAAUCGUGGUCCGCAAGCAUGGGCGUACAAAUGAUAGAUGAAGCAUUGGACUCAUUUUCCUCAUCAGAAGCAAGCAGAUGUGUAAAUAUUGGACUUCUCUGUGUACAAGAUCA